UCUCCUGGGGUGGACACUGCUUCCCUCCUUACGGAUGAGGGAACUAAAGCCGGGAGGCUGAGGUCCCUACCAAGUGCGGCC
Molecule: microRNA precursor, 81 nt
Filed under: Fukomys damarensis (Damara mole-rat)
Lineage: Eukaryota; Metazoa; Chordata; Mammalia; Rodentia; Bathyergidae
Description: miRNA (ENSFDAG00000001953.1)
Source: RNAcentral